CACGCCGUAAACGAUGUCAACUAGCCGUUGGGAGUCUUGAACUCUUAGUGGCGCAGCUAACGCAUUAAGUUGACCGCCUGGGGAGUACGGCCGCAAGGUUAAAACUCAAAUGAAUUGACGGGGGCCCGCACAAGCGGUGGAGCAUGUGGUUUAAUUCGAAGCAACGCGAAGAACCUUACCUGGCCUUGACAUGCUGAGAACUUUCUAGAGAUAGAUUGGUGCCUUCGGGAACUCAGACACAGGUGC
RNAcentral lists this ribosomal RNA (246 nucleotides) under uncultured bacterium. RNAcentral's name for it is "partial 16S ribosomal RNA". It matches the Rfam family "Bacterial small subunit ribosomal RNA", at positions 796 to 1041 of the family's 1533-position model. The record is from RNAcentral.